Molecule: ribosomal RNA, 374 nt
Filed under: uncultured Alphaproteobacteria bacterium
Lineage: Bacteria; Pseudomonadati; Pseudomonadota; Alphaproteobacteria
Description: bacterial SSU rRNA
Rfam family: Bacterial small subunit ribosomal RNA
Source: RNAcentral
UAAUACGGAGGGGGCAAGCGUUGUUCGGAAUUACUGGGCGUAAAGGGCGCGCAGGCUGUUUCGUUAGUCAGGCGUGAAAUCCCCGGGCUCAACCCGGGAACUGCGUUUGAUACUGCGGAACUAGAGAUCGGGAGAGGGUAGUGGAAUUCCCAGUGUAGAGGUGAAAUUCGUAGAUAUUGGGAAGAACACCAGUGGCGAAGGCGGCUACCUGGACCGAUACUGACGCUGAGGCGCGAAAGCGUGGGGAGCAAACAGGAUUAGAUACCCUGGUAGUCCACGCCGUAAACGAUGUGUGCUAGACGUCGGGGGUUACGCCUUCGGUGUCGCAGCUAACGCAUUAAGCACACCGCCUGGGGAGUACGGCCGCAAGGUUA